RNAcentral lists this ribosomal RNA (335 nucleotides) under uncultured bacterium. RNAcentral's name for it is "bacterial SSU rRNA". It matches the Rfam family "Bacterial small subunit ribosomal RNA", at positions 331 to 680 of the family's 1533-position model. The record is from RNAcentral.
CCAGACUCCUACGGGAGGCAGCAGUGGGGAAUAUUGGACAAUGGGGGGAACCCUGAUCCAGCGACGCCGCGUGAGUGAAGAAGUAUUUCGGUAUGUAAAGCUCUAUCAGCAGGGAAGAAAGAAAUGACGGUACCUGACUAAGAAGCCCCGGCUAACUACGUGCCAGCAGCCGCGGUAAUACGUAGGGGGCAAGCGUUAUCCGGAUUUACUGGGUGUAAAGGGAGCGUAGACGGCGAUGUAAGUCUGAAGUGAAAUGCCCGGGCUCAACCUGAGAACUGCUUUGUAAACUGUAUGGCUGGAGUGCUGGAGAGGUAAGCGGAAUUCCUAGUGUAGCG